UCCGUAGGUGGAUAAUUAAGUCAGAGGUGAAAUCCUGCAGCUCAACUGUAGAAUUGCCUUUGAUACUGGUUAUCUUGAGUCAUUAUGAAGUGGUUAGAAUGUGUAGUGUAGCGGUGAAAUGCAUAGAUAUUACACAGAAUACCGAUUGCGAAGGCAGAUCACUAAUACUGUACUGACACUGAGGGACGAAAGCGUGGGGAGCGAACAGGAUUAGAUACCCUGGUAGUCC
This 229-nucleotide ribosomal RNA is filed under the name uncultured bacterium. RNAcentral's name for it is "partial 16S ribosomal RNA". It matches the Rfam family "Bacterial small subunit ribosomal RNA", at positions 568 to 796 of the family's 1533-position model. The record is from RNAcentral.